Molecule: ribosomal RNA, 468 nt
Filed under: uncultured bacterium
Lineage: Bacteria
Description: partial 16S ribosomal RNA
Rfam family: Bacterial small subunit ribosomal RNA
Source: RNAcentral
GACGAACGCUGGCGGCGUGCUUAACACAUGCAAGUCGAACGGAAAGGCCCUGCUUGCGUGGGGUGCUCGAGUGGCGAACGGGUGCGUAACACGUGAGUAACCUGCCCUAGACUUUGGGAUAACUUCAGGAAACUGGGCCUACUACCGGAUAGGAUCCCCUGUUGCAUGGUGGGGGUUGGAAAGUUUCGGCGGGUGGGGCUGGAUGCGCGGCUGACCGGCUUGUUGGUUGGGUAGUGGCUUACCAAGGCUGUGACGGGUAGGCGGCCUGAGAGCGUGACCGGCGACAAUGCGACUGCGAUACGCAGCAGACUCGUACGGUGGACAGUAGUGGGAAAUCUUGCACAGUGGGCGGAAGUCUGAUGCAGAAACGUCGCGUGCGUGAUGACGGUCUUCGGGUAGUGAACCGCUGUCGCCUGUGACGCAGCGUGAGUGACGGUAAUGGGUGAAGAAGCACCGGCUAACUACGUG